RNAcentral lists this ribosomal RNA (440 nucleotides) under uncultured bacterium. RNAcentral's name for it is "partial 16S ribosomal RNA". It matches the Rfam family "Bacterial small subunit ribosomal RNA", at positions 338 to 795 of the family's 1533-position model. The record is from RNAcentral.
CCUACGGGAGGCAGCAGUAGGGAAUAUUGCUCAAUGGGGGAAACCCUGAAGCAGCAACGCCGCGUGGGGGAUGAAGUUUUUCGGAUUGUAAACUCCUUUUGUUAGAGAAGAUAAUGACGGUAUCUGACGAAUAAGCACCGGCUAACUCCGUGCCAGCAGCCGCGGUAAUACGUAGGGUGCAAGCGUUACUCGGAAUCACUGGGCGUAAAGAGCGCGUAGGCGGCAGAGCAAGUCAGAUGUGAAAUCCUAGGGCUGAACCAUAGAACUGCAUUUGAAACUGUUCUGCUAGAGUAUGGGAGAGGUAGGGGGAAUUCUUGGUGUAGGGGUAAAAUCCGUAGAGAUCAAGAGGAAUACUCAUUGCGAAGGCGACCUGCUAGAACAUAACUGACGCUGAUGCGCGAAAGCGUGGGGAGCAAACAGGAUUAGAUACCCGUGUAGUC